Long non-coding RNA from Eriocheir sinensis (Chinese mitten crab), 1524 nucleotides. RefSeq lists it as uncharacterized. The record is from RefSeq and is a predicted model, not a curated record. The transcript is spliced from 4 exons. NCBI's taxonomy places the organism in Eukaryota, Metazoa, Arthropoda, Malacostraca, Decapoda, Varunidae.
UUAGGUUAGGUUAGUUUAAAUUCAUUGGUCAUUGUGUGUGUGUGUGUGUGUGUGUGUCAUUAGGUUAAGUUAGGUUAGGUUAGUUUAAAUUCAUUGGUCAUUGUGUGUGUGUGUGUGUGUGUGUGUGUGUGUGUGUGUGUGUGUGUCAUUAGGUUAAGUCAGGUUAGGUUAGUUUAAAUUCAUUGGUCAUUGUGUGUGUGUGUGUGUGUGUGUGUGUGUCAUUAGGUUAAGUUAGGUUAGGUUAGUUUAAAUUCAUUGGUCAUUGUGUGUGUGUGUGUGUGUGUGUGUGUGUGUGUGUGUCAUUAGGUUAAGUUAGGUUAGGUUAGUUUAAUUUCAUUGGUCAUUGUGUGUGUGUGUGUGUGUGUGUGUGUGUGUGUCAUUAGGUUAAGUUAGGUUAGGUUAGUUUAAAUUCAUUGGUCAUUGUGUGUGUGUGUGUGUGUGUGUGUGUGUGUGUGUGUGUCAUUAGGUUAAGUUAGGUUAGGUUAGUUUAAAUUCAUUGGUCAUUGUGUGUGUGUGUGUGUGUGUGUGUGUCAUUAGGUUAAGUCAGGUUAGGUUAGUUUAAAUUCAUUGGUCAUUGUGUGUGUGUGUGUGUGUGUGUCAUUAGGUUAAGUUAGGUUAGGUUAGUUUAAAUUCAUUGGUCAUUGUGUGUGUGUGUGUGUGUGUGUGUCAUUAGGUUAAGUCAGGUUAGGUUAGUUUAAAUUCAUUGGUCAUUGUGUGUGUGUGUGUGUGUGUGUGUGUGUGUGUGUCAUUAGGUUAAGUCAGGUUAGGUUAGUUUUACACAGAAAUACGUUUUAAUUUAUAAACAAUACCAUACCUGCUGUUUACCCAUGAACGAAACAAGUAUAUUACAUGAUACUGAAUAGGUUUUUUAUAUAUACCCCAAGGGAGGAGGCUAUUAAUGACUAAAUAGUUACCUUAAGAAUUGUUCUGUGCAAUGGGAGAGAUAUAUAAAUGUAUCUUUAGCCUAUAUAUAUAUAUAUCUAUAACUACGACAAUUUCUAAUGUUUUAUAAUCCAGGGAAAUCUAGCUCUGUGGUCGCGUCCUACAUAUAUUAGGCCUAGUGCAGGUGCCCUUAAUUGACAAGAAAAUUAGGCCUCUCCUCUUGACCUGUUGUGAUCGUGUUUUAUGAAUCCUAACCUCGAAAAUCACUUUGAUAUGAUAACAAGGAUAAUUUGAAAUAUGCUGGAGACACGAAAAGAUGCCCAAAACUCGCCAAUCAGGACGGAAAGAUGCCCAAAAAAACGCCAGCCCACCAGCGUCAAAUUCUACCCGCCAGUGAAGAAACAGAACCGUCACAUUUGGCGGGAAAUUCGCCAACCUACGCGUCAAAGACCUAAAUUUUGUUCACCCGGCCGGGGAGUCAAACCCCGGCCCUUCUGGUUGUGAGGCAGACGCUUUAUCCACUGAGCUACCGGCCCGUGUGUGUGUGUGUGUGUGUCAUUAGGUUAGGUUACAGGGCCUGGGCUUACAUGUCCUACUACUACUACUACUACUACUACUACUACUACUACUACUACUACUACU